Molecule: long non-coding RNA, 345 nt
Organism: Sander lucioperca (pikeperch)
Lineage: Eukaryota; Metazoa; Chordata; Actinopteri; Perciformes; Percidae
Exons: 2
Source: RefSeq, a predicted model, not a curated record
CUGAAUGCUUGCUCUUGGGGGAAUUACUGGAAUUGUUGGGUCUUUGUAAAUUAUAGAGUGUGGUCUAGAGUGUGGUCUAGAGCUACUCUAUCUGUAGAGUGUCUUGAGACAACUCUUGUUAUGAUUUAUUUGACAUUAUUAAUAAAAUUGAAUUGAAUUAAUAGAAAACAACCUGCAACCUAUAAUUAUUAUUAUUGUUAUUAUUAACACUUAUUGUUACUCACCAAGUUGAUAUAGAGACCUAUGGAGAAGACAAAGAAUACUUUUAUUAGAAUUACUUGAAGUUACAGUAAAUCUUGAAAUGAAAUUGUAUUUGGAUGUCAGUAAACACAACAGUAUAUUGGA